UUUUUUAAAACGCUUGAAAGAUACAGAUUAUGACGCGUUUUGAAGAGAAGGACGCCGCCGAUUGUCAACAACAAUAGUACUUGUUUUAGCCAAUUUAACAAGACAACCAAUACCAAGGAGCUAUGAAUAUUAAUAAAUACUCGAGGAUAUACUACAGGUAACUCAAACAAAUGAUUUAAUAGUGCAGGAAUAAACAGAAAUCUGCAAUGACUGAAUGUUUUCAUCUUCGAGUUUGGUAUAGUGAUGUAGUGUCCGUUCGACAUGUUUCACGUUCGCCCAAGUACCUGUGGCUGUUCGCCCAUGAUCGAUUCGCCCUGAUUUUUAUACCCCCGCUUUGAAAAAAAGGGGGUAUACUGUUUUACCUCUGUCUAUCCUUCCGUCUGUCAGUCAGUCCGUCCGUCCCAUGAAUAUUUUUCGUAACAUUUUUCUCAGGAACUACACUACCAGGAUUUCUGAAAUUUGGUUUCAGGCUUGAUAUAAGUCAGCUGUACUGUGUGAUGCGUUUUCAGAUUCAUCACUUAACAACUUCCUGUUUACCGAACACUUGUUUGAUUUUACACAUGAUAGCCAAGUUGAAAAUUUUUCGUCACAUUUUUCUCAGGAACUACAAUACAAGUAGUCCAGAUAAUCAUGCCGUCUUCUGAGGGUAUUUUUAUAUUUGGAUUUUUUUAGUUCCCUCAUUGACGUCAUGACGCUAAACCCAUAUGAGCGGUUGGAUGAAACUAUUCAGUUGAAAAUGGUUGAAAUAAACGUAAUUUGGCUCUGUGUGAAAUCCGGAAACUUCAAUAAAUCAUACCUUGGUGUACAAUCUUUCAGCUUUUUUGCAUUAACUUCAGAUAUUUGAUAUAUUUAAACCAUUAAAACAUAGAAAUACCAUUAUUUUUGCAGGAACAGAAGAUCGUCUUCUCUACAAAUGGCCGCUGAGUACCCGGAUUACUAAAGGGGACGUCUCAAAAAAGAAAAACAAAGUAAAAUUAAACCAAAGACGGAACAUUCGAAGACGGAUGCUGUGUAUAUAUGUAAAAAAUAAGAUUGGUUUAAAAAGACUUCCGCAAUGAUUAAAUCUUUUAUAAAGCUCAAUACUCAAAUAUCUUAUGUCUCGAAUAUAGCUAUAUAAUUCCUUGAUCAAUAUAAAAUGAAAAUGAAAAAUUGUAUUUUCCAAAUUUGUGUCAUUUCGUGAUUAUUUCUUUUUUGCAGGUUCUAUAUAAAAAAAACAAGAACUAUGAUUUUAUAUAACUUUCUUCUAUUUUUUUCAGAAUUUCCGCUGUCCCAAAGAUAGUCUGCUGAUUUAUUCUAUUGGCAACUAGAAGGAAAUGGUCUGCUGGUUAUACUAUUGCAAAAAAAGAAGGAAAUUGUCACCGCUUUAACAAUUGUAUAAUGAAUAUUGAACAAUAAUACAAUAGUAAUAUGAUGAUACUAGCAUAUUGAUAAAAUCCAAUAAAUAUACCCCUCUUUAAAAAGGGGCGCAGGACAUUUCAGCGCAAAAUUUAAAACCACUAUAAAACAUGCGCUCAAGUGGGUUGUACUUCAGCGCUGAAAUGUCCUCCGCUGUUUAAAAUGGGGUUAUGCUGUUUAACCUAUGUCUGUCCGCCUGUCCUGUUCAUUGAGUUACACCUUGCGAUGACUUUUCAGGUUCAUUACUCAUCAACUUUAUGUUAACCGAACACUUGCAUAUUUUUACACAGAAUAGCCAACUUGAAUAUUUUGUUGAAUAUCAGGGUUUUCUGAAAUUUGGUUUUAAGGUAAUUAAGUUCCUGUGUGAUAUUUUUUUUAUGUUAUUGUGUGUGUUUUGUAUUGAUGCCAACAUCCCAGAUGAUUGUUAGGCACUUCGUGUUUUUUAAAACCCUUUUUUUAAUAUGUUCAUGAUUAACUGUUAUGAUUAGGAUCCGUUUUGUCGUUACUUUGAGUUAGUCUUCCAAUUCUCAUUAUAUCAUCAUCUCUGGAUAUAGCUACUUGCCUCUCGCUGUACAUUUUCUAUGAAAAGCAAUAUAAAUGUUCACAUACAAACAUAUAUGCACAAACAACAUAAAUGUACAUACCCUAGCGUAUAGGUAUACACUAGUAUGUGUACAGUAAGAUCGUUUGGUUUUAUUUCAUGAUGCGCAGUGAUUGUUAGAUGUAAAAAAAAAAACCAUUCAUUUCAAUGUUUCUCUAUUUCUUCUUAAAACAAAAAAACUCAAAUAAUAAUUUGGAAAAUAAAAACAGCAGGAUAUAGUAACGAAAUACUUAUUAAGUGUCAUUUAAUCAGAAAUGAUUCCAAACAUGGCUUAAUAGGACAUUGACAUUUAUAUUUACAAUUAACACAACACAAACACAACUCACAGCAACACUCGGACACGCAAGGCACCUCACAUUCAACUUUUUUUUCCAUACUUCUCAAGUCUCUCAUAUCCAUUCCUUUUACAAUAAAAUUUCUAAGUAUCUUAGAACGUAUACACUCACUUUUCUCUCGCAUGAUGUGUGCUACGUCUUUGUCUGUAACUUGAGCAGACAAAGACCUCCCGUAUGGAUAAUUAACAUUCCAUCCCUGCCUUCCAUCUCUUCCACAUCUCCCAACUUCCUGCCAAAAACUCAUAACAGUUUUAGGAGCCCCCCAAUUUACAAUGAUAUCAAUAUCUGGGAUAUUAAUUCCCAUCCCAAAAGCUAUUGUCGCUACUAAUAUUUUUAUUUUCCCUUCUUUAUCUUUAAAGUCCUUCAUUAUUCGAGUUUUUGUUUUUUCCUCUGUUGAUGCAGUGUACAGCUCGACAACUCUAUUGUCUACUGACUUGUCUCCAUCGUACGCUUUCUCCAUUAAUGUUUCUAACAAAUAACUCCAUACUUCAAAAGAUUGACUGUAAGACCUGAAAUUUUAACGCACUGUAAAUAUAACAUUUCAAUACAUGCAUUAUUUUGGGCUUGCUGUUCUGUGUGAUCCAAGACUCUGUGUUGAAGGCCGCGUACUUAAACCUAUAAUUGUUAACUUUAAAUACAUUGUGUGACUUGGUCUCAUUGGCACUCAUACUACAUUUUCUUAUCUAUAAUGUGUUUUUUAUAAAAUACUUGUUUGAAUCAGUACUAACAUGUUUAUUUAAAUCUAUUAAAACAAAGAAAGACAAUUAUUAUGAUUGAUUGUUGGUUGCUGAAGUCCAUUCACACAUAUUUUAUGCAUGUUCCCGACGAAUAUAAAUAUCUAUAUAUAUAUGAAAGUUUGUGAAUAUCCUGUGCUAUAUAUAUUCUGUUGUUUUCUUCACCUGCAGUAUACAAUAACUUUUUUGCUGUUGUUUCCAUGAUUUGACACCAUAUCAGCAAUCCAUUUCAAUUCUGCAACAUCCUGCUUUGCAACAACCAAAUCAAUGAAUAUAUUGGACCUGCAAUUAAAUGUAAAAACUAUACAUAUAACACAUAAAAUCUGAAAUUAUCAGAAACUAGAAUAAUGAAUGCAAACGAGGAAUGUGUCAAAGAGACAUUAACCAGGCUUAGCACUUUAAUAAUAGAUAAAGAAUGGAAACGUGGUUUUAUGAAUUGAUCUUUUGAGUUUUGCUGUGCGUUUUACUGUAUAUAUAAAAAUUAAAAGAAGAUGUGGUAUGAGUGCCAAUGAGACAACUCUCUAUCCAACAAAACGAAAGUUUGUUUAUUCUACAUUGGCUAGAGAUAUAGGGGAGGGUUGAAAUCUCACCAACAUGAUUAAUCCCCUCCGCAUUUCUGCCCCUGUCCCAAGUCAGGAGCAUCUGUCCUUUGUUUGUCUUGCAUGUUUUUUUACCUUUAAGUUCAUUUAUAUGUUUCGAAAUUUAGUGUGACGUACAUUUUGUUGUUAAUGCGGCUGAAGUCGCCUCCGGGUGCGGGAUUUUAUCGCUGUGUUGAAGACCCAUUGGUGCUGUUUUAUGGUCGUUGGUUGGGUCGGAAUUUCCAUUCACAAUUUUAUUUGAAUGAUAAAAAGUUAGCGAGUAUUUUUCAGAUACUUGGGGGUAUAAAGAUAAUAUAUAACUUGUUUUGUGUGUAACGUAUACCUAUUUGGAAUAACAGCAAUUACUUCUGUUUCCGUUGGAAGAGUUAAAAAUUUAAAAAUGUCGUCGACAAUCUUUUGGUUUGCUGUUGCUGUCAAAGCCAAAAUUGGCUUGUCAGCUAAUAUGCUACACGUGAUUUCCAAAUCUCUGAAUUCUGGUCGGAAAUCCUCACCCCUAGAAAAUAAGUAUUCAUAAAUGUCUUUAUAUACAUACAUUAAAAGUAAGGUUUUUUUUAACAAAUAUGACAGAGAAAAUGUGAUAUUAAGAAAGUUUUCAUGAUGAGUAACGCGUAGAAUAUUAAAAAUCUGUAUUUCUUUUUAAUACUUGUACUAUUUUUUACUUCAAAUGUUUCUUGUUACAAUAUUUCGUUCUGGUACAAAUCAAAUCUUAAAAAGUACCUUGUCAGUCAAUCUAUCAAUUGACCGUUAAUUUAUUUUAUAUACUUAUAUCUAUAUAUAUGACCCAUCUACAGAUAGCGUUAUAUUUUGAUGUAUGUGCGUCUAGCAUUCGUUCUUUCAUGCAUUAGGACCUCGACCCUUAGAUUUUGUCAAGUCAUUUUAUGAGGAGGUUGAAGUUAUAAUACAAGUGUUUAUUAUGAUAGUAUGAUCUUUACAAAUUGUACGCAAAAUUAGGCUUUUGACAACAAUUUCCCGGUUUACUGAACAUUGAAAAUAAAAGGACGAGAGAGACAUCUUCAAACUGUGGACACAUUUUCUUGUUUCCUUUAAUCCCAAAGGAAAUGUAUCCAUUAUAUAUUUUAAAAAGCGAUGAGUUAUUCGGCUUAAUUAUAAAACUAAAUAGCAUACUCUUCUUAUUAAAUGCCAAAAAAAUAUACCAUUCAGAUAUACAGUGAGCUUCAUCACAAACAAAGAGACUACAGUCUAACUUUGGCAAUAACUGUCUAAAAGCUUUCGUUGACAAGUUUUCUGGCGAUGAAAAUACCAUUGAGAUGGAACCAUUCUUUAGAGCUGCAAUUAAAAUGAAAUAAAAUUAUAAGAAUAAAUAUAGUCCGGUUUAAAACAAUUAUACUUCCAACCGGGUUUGUACUUUCUUGAACAUCGACCGGCUAUGUGCGUGAACACUCCCUGAGUAACUGUAUCUUAAGUGUUGCUCUAUUUGCCUUUGUUAUUCAGUCCUCUUCUCAGAUAACAUGCUUAUAUAAAAAAGAAGAUGUGGUGUAAUUUCCAAUAAGACAACUAUUCACAAGAUACCAACUUACACAGAAAUUACAAACUAUUGGUCACCGUACGACCUUCAACAAUGAGCAAAGCCCGUACCGCAUAGUCAGCUUUAAAAGGUCCCGGAAUGACAGAUGUAAAUCAAUUCAAACGAGAAAACUAACGGCCUAAUUAAUGUACAAUUAAAUGAACGAAAAACAAAAAAACUAUUUGGUGAAAGUAAUUUAUAUAUAUCGUGUAUCUGACAUUGACCUCAACUAUCAAAUCAAUUUUAAGUCGUCCUAGUAGCUAUGAAGAAUAGUUUGGCAAGAUUUAUAAAGCAAAACCGUUCAUAAGCACCUGAAAUCAACCUCGUUUUAUGAUUCGUGUUGCUCAAUCUGAAGUCGUUGUUUUGAUUUACAUGUAUGAGUUUACAUAGCGCUUAUGUCUAGUAUUGUGUAUUUUUAUAUGUUUUGUAUUAGCAUAGUAUUUGAUAAGAAUAUUCCUUAGAUUAAAAUGAGAACGUAAGGAGUUGCUUCUUUGUAUUUGUAAGAUAUGUUUCUAUGUACAGUCGCAGAUAUAUUUACAUGUACCUUUAAAAAAAAUUCUUAUGCAAAACAAUAAGUAUACCUUCAACGCUGUCUUCUGAGAUGUGUUUUUGUAGGAUCAAACUUUUAAUAUCAUACUUGGAUAGGAUCUCUGUUUGGUCAAUCAUUAAACUGUUUAGUGGGGAUACCACCAAACUUAACCAUUUUUCCGUCUAUAAUCAACAUAAAAAACAAUUAAAACAUGCAUAAUUAAUUCUAAGGAAUUACUGCAUUAUACUUUUAAUUGAUGUCAAAAUAUGGAUUUCUAUGCUAUAUGAGAGGUUAAGCUAUAUUUGAAACCAGUGUCAAUUGUGUUUCAUUUUAUUUUACCAUUUGAAAGUCUUAACGAUUGCUUUUUCGAUAUACUUGAAGAUACUUGUAUAUUAGUAUCAAUGAAGUACAUGUAUUAGAAGAAAUGCGAUUUAUAUACCUACAAGGACUUUUGUUACAUUUCAAGAUUGAAUUGAUUCACAGCUUAAAAACCUUAUUUUAUUUUUGAUGUGUAUUUUAAUGUGUAUUUUUUGCUAUUGAUUUAUAAAUGUAUUUGUUUAUUCUUUACAUUGUAAUUGUUAUAAUUUCUUGACACGAUUGUCAAGUUAAACUGUUUACUUUUCGGUUUAAUUCAAUGUAAUAAAAUAUAUAUAUAUGACAUGAAAAUCAGAAAUUUAUUCUUAUUAAAAAGGGGGGUGGUACCUUUUUCAUUAAGGUUGGUAAUAUAUAACACAUGCUUUUUCCAUAUCCAGUUGGCAGUAUUGCUACACAUUUUUGACCUUGUAAUAUUUUGCUUAUAACUUUACACUGUUCAGGUUUAAGAUCGAACGGUAAAUCAAACUCUUCUUUCAAAAGUUGAAAACGUGCUUUUACGGCUUCUUCUUCCAUCUUUCUAUCACGUGACUCUUGGACUGAAAAUGGCAACAUGUGCUAACUGUUGCGUACCGUUUGAUAAAAAAAGUUCUGGGCAUGGCUUAAAGAGACACAGUAUCCAUUUACUUGAUGAGGACGCUAUUUCUACAUGUAUAGGGACUGAAUCGUUCACACCUAAUUCUAAAAGAACAGGACAAUUUUUGUGUCCAGAGUGCUACAAACUUUUGAAUGCCGCCACUACCUCAUCAAAAAAAUCAAAAGAUUUCUCUCAAAAAACAAAUACAACCAGCUAUAUUGCAUCAAAGACUAAAAGAAAAUUCUCUGUUCUAACUCCAACAAAAACACCAAGAAAAACAAAGGCAUCUAAGAAUGAAACACAGGUAUAAACAUACUGUACAAUUCACCCCUCCCCCCUUUUUUGCGUUAAAUUACAAAUUACUGUCUUAAUGUAUUUAUUGUACUAACAUAGGAAGGUUUAAUGUCCUCUGUUAAUUCGUUUCACUCACUAAAAAUCACAUGAAUAACAAUACUGAGGGGGUUAGAUUUUCGUCCGUGAUUCGUUUUUUCGUUUUUUUGUGAUUAGUGGAUUUGUGAUUCGUUUUUAAUUCAAUUUGAUAAACGUUCUCCGUGAUGAAUCGUCGUGAACUGAUCAGCAAAGUAAAUGUCUCGUGAACCUUGAAUCUGAUGACCCCCCCUCCAAUUUCCACAUUCAGAGAAUAAUAAUGCAGUUUUGAAUUACUACUAUUUGUUUCUUUUUUUAAUUAUACAACAGUUUUUCAAAAUGUGUUUUAAUAAAAGUGCAAAAUUAAUUAGAUGUAGCCAAAGUUUGAACAAAUAAAUUACCACAUUGUAAUAGAUUUAGUCUGAACUAAAAGUGCAACGAUUAUGACGUACUUAAAGACCGUUGUUGCUUCUGUAAAAGUACAUGGUUCACGGGGGGGCUUUUAACUACACUUAUGACAUAUUCUUUAAAAGUACAUACUAGUAGUUGUUUGGUUGUCAGAUCUUUUUUCAAGUGAAAUUUCGUAUAGAGUGAUAUUGCUCGCUGCAUUUUUUUUUUAAAGAUAAUAAAAGAUUUCAUCAAUACUUGACACCGGGAUUUUACACAAAUAUAUAUAUAUAUAUAUAUAUAUAUGCUGACUUUAUUUUUAGAAGUCAACCACUGUGAAGUCAACACCAAAAAAGACGUAUGGUGGGCGACGAACAGAGCUGAUUUACUUUAAAAAUUAUCAGUACAGACAGGCUUUUAGAUGCUUACUGAGAAAAUCUGACGCAGCAAGAUCAUGUCUUAUGAAGGUUAUGGGGGAUGAGAUAAAGAAAGAAAUGAAACAGCUCUUUUUGAGGCGACAGUCAUUUGAACUGGGACGUCCGUUCAAUUCCAAAAACAUCAAAGAAUUCUCAUGGAAAAAUAUUAUCCAAGAAACUCAAGAAAUAUGCCCUUUCCUGUUUAACACUUUAUCGUCUGCACUUGCCAUGAAGACUGAUAUACACAGGUUAUUAGACAAUUGACUUGUAAAGAUUAAGAUGUAAACUGAAUAUAUAUAUAGUUCAUAGAAAAAAGUACCAAACUUUAAUCAGGCAUAUCGUUAGACUAUAAGUACGUCUGAACCAGUUCGAAUCCCGCCAAGGGAAGAAAAACAAUUGCUGCGCAAAAUUAAAAAUCUAAUAUUGUUUGCGUUUUUAUAUUGUAACUUAGACGUUAUAUAUAAACUUAAAAUUAAAAACCAAAUAGCAAAGCAAAAAACUAAAAGCAAAUAUGAUAGACAAAAUCAAAAUGAUGUCCAGUCACCAACGGGCAACAACCUCCGACUUAUAAACUGACAAAGCCAUGGCAAAAAUGAAUCAGACAAACAACAGUACACAAAACACAACAUAGAAAACUAAAGACUGAGAAACUCGAACCCCACCAAAAACUUGGGGUGAUCUCAGUGCUCUGGAAGGGUAAGCAGAUCCUGCUACACAUGUGCAUAGCACCCGUCAUUAAUUCACCCUUUGCAAGACGCAAGAAAGGGAGUUUUUACAAUAUAUAUUUUUAUGUUUCAGAGACAUGAAUCCAAUAAUAGGAACCAUAAUAGGAAUCGUAACCCACAAACGAUAUCCAAAGACAUUUCAGUUGUUUCAAGCAAUGAACUCCACACAUCUUUGGAGACACAAUGCCUCGCAGUCUGUAUGUUUAAACAAUAUUAACUCGCAUUCACACUCAAAUAAAGUUAAUCUCAUAUUUGUUAUAGAAUUUCUCAUAAGUUUCAUUCUCACGCUUUAUCACAUAAAAUCAUUAGACUCGUGGUUAAUCUCAUGUUUAAACUCAUAAAUAUCAUGAUCAUAGAUAUAAUAGAUGAACCGAAUAAUUUCUACCCUCAAAAUCGACUGACAAAAGCAUUUGAUUCUUAAGUCAUGUCAAUGAAAGACGAACUAACACCACAUCUUCAUUUUUAUAUUAACAACCAUUCUUUAGUAGCUUUCGGCGACCAUACCAUAAGACAACCGAUAUAACAGAUAAAACCAAUUGACGUGAUUUUCGAAAGGAUAGUUACUUAUCACGAAAGCUUUUGAUUAGUUCAUACAUGUUAUGUACAUUCGUUUGAUGCGGUCCGUAGCUUGAUUAACAAUACAGACUUUAAUAUAAGGCUACUUGUCAUUUUUGGCUAACAUUGGAAAAUAUCUGAGACCCAAGGUUUCAUCGCGUAUAGUAUCAAUCUAUGGGUUUUGUUCAGUGUAUAGCAUUGUUUGCAUGCUAUAAGUCAAAUGAUAAAUACAGCUGGUCUGUGAAAUGUUAAAUAUUAUAUCUGAUUUGUUCUCCUAAAAUGAUGUCUCUUUCAUAUUUUAACAGUUGUUUAAAGACAUAAACCACCUUGGUUUAUGCUUAAGCUACAAACCAACUUUAGCCAGGAUAGACAGUUUGACAAGUGAAUGUAGCAGACAAACAGAGUCUUGGAAGAAUAAUACAGAGGUUGAUUUUAUUAUUUUAUUUAAUUUGUCAAAUUUGAUAUAAAAAAUAGAAAUUUGUACAGUUUUCUCGUUUGAAUUGUUUGCACUGGUCAUAUUAUAGCCUUAACAGCUUAUUUUUCGGUGUUAUCCAUUUAGAGAGUUUUAUCAUUGUCAUCUCGUAUUUCUAUAUGGAGUAUAGCUUGCUAGCAUACCUCAAAAUGAUAUUAACAAUACACAAUAAUUGUCUAUUAUUGUUCCUACCAAAAAACACUCAGAGUCUAGAAAAUCAUGUUGAGAUUUUUUAUGACAGUCAACCGGUCUUCCGAGAUGGAGGUUACAUUAAUAGACAUAAGCAAUUGACUUCUUUUUUUUUAAAUGGGUGAAAGCCUUUUUGAGUUAUUGCCAGAAGGGUCGACGAUGGACGGACGGAUUGACGGACAGACGGUAUACCAUAAUAUGUCCCGUCUUAGACGGGCGUAUAAAAAUUGAUAUUUUUUUUAAAAAGUGACCAGAACACAAAACAUGCAAUAAAAUUUAUUUCCCCGUCAAGCUUUCUUGUAUAUUGUUGACAAGGUGAAAAAUGUAUCAUUUUCAGAAUUACCUUACGAAAGAUGAAGAUCUGAAUGCAUCUAUGGAAACACUUCCGUACAUGGAAGAAGAUUCUGAUGAUGAGCUUAUUGAAGCAUUAGGCCUAAGAGAAGAUGAUGGAGUUGCUCCACUAGGCCUAAGAGAAGAUGAUGGAGUUGCUCCACUUGAAGAAGCACCAGUUCAACCUGGUAGAUAUUUAGUAUUUAAAAAAAAAGAUAUAAUCGACAUUUCAUAUAUAAGUAUUCAGAGUUCUUUCAAGAAAAAAAUAUCUGACAAAACGAAUAUAUUUGUCCAAACAUGCAAGGGCUUCAACGCCAGUCAAACACUACCAUAUAUAUAUAGUUAUCAUGAAGAGUCCUAAUGGAAGGAUGAAAUCGAUUGAACUGUGUCAAAACUUUUUAUACUUAUCUUUCUACUUUUUUUUAUAAAUAUAUACAUCUUCACAUGUGAACCUUAUAUAUAUGGAAGAGGCUAAAUGCACUAUAGUUUAUACUAGUUUUCUAUUAUAUAUAUGGAAGAGGCUAAAUGCACUAUAGUUUAUACUAGUUUUCUAUUCAACUUUCAAGUUUCUUCAGUUAUUUCAGAAACACUUGCAUUUUAGGGUAUACAGUCUGUUGGGACAAUGUUGGGAAACACACAGUGGCCAGACACCAGUCAAGGGAAAGCAUAAAUGUAAUGCAUAACUGGGCGUUAGCCUACAUUGCCGAAAAUAGAGUACCAACCAUAAGAAAAAACCCUGAACCACCGACAAUACUCGCCAUGGACAUCCCAGUCAUGACCUUCCUUCCUACGAAGGAAGACUUUCUACAAUUGAAGAACAGGAUGACUGUAAUGGUAGAACGUAUCUUGGCUACAUACGUCAAAACAUAUGAAGAGGAGAAGGAGACUGCAUUCAAUCCCAUAAAACAUGAGAAGUGGGACAGUAGUAUUAAAAAAAGCAAAAUUGUAAGACACAUCAACGUUAAUUUACAAACAAUAAAAUAAAUCAAUCGUGUCCGAUUUAUUUCAAAUCAUUUGAAACAUUUAAGCUUACUCUUUUGUAUGAGUUUUGCUUAUUGUUGAAGGCCUUACUGUCUCCAGAGAAAAGUUGAGUCAAUAGCAAUCACACCUUAAUUAAAUUAUUAUUUCAUAUUCUAUUUCUCCAUCAAAGUAGACGAAGAAAACCUACAGGUUACACAAGAACCAUGAAACGAUAAAAAAGGAAUGUAUUAUGUUAAAAAAUAGUUUUAUCUAAUUUCAAAUGAUGCGUCGAAUUCAAAAAUGGAUAUUGAUUGAUUAUUAUUUAGUAAAACAAUGUCUUAUCUGUCAAUUAUCUUCAGAACAGAGAUAUAUAUUUUAUGCAUGCUUGUUUAAAACAAACUUUUGUUUAAAAAGUUUAUUAAUAUUUCCAGCAUUUAUAAUAAGUUUUACUUUUACAGAUUAACAUUGGGGUAAUCGACGAAAACCCAUCGUCUACAAACGGGGUAAUCCAGAUACUGGACAAACUGCAUGCACAUGUUCCAUAUGAUGGUGAUAAAAUAUUCCCCCUUAUUUCAUGGGGAGAUGCUCUGUCAUGUGAGCGCCAUAAUGACGCCCACAAUGUAAGGUCAAACUCUGGCAAUGAGAGGGAUAGGUUGGAGGGUUUAGAGCCAGCAAUCCAGGAAUUCCAUAAAAGGAUGCUUUUGCUACAGGUUAUAUAUAACUGAACAAAUAUUUGUUUACAGAAUAAAAAUUGCAAAAAAGAUUCAAAUUGGUUGAUUUACUUGAAACAGAAUUAUAACUGUUCAGCUUUCACAAUUCAUGACAUUAAACGCAACCUACACUUUUUGGUUUAUGCAUUCUAAUAUGGUUUGUCUAAACGUCUUUUUCACGAAUUAUUGAAACAAACAAUUAUAUUAACAUGAUACAUAUAAACAUAUUUUUGAAGCGUGGUAUACAACAUGACAGAACAGACUGAAAUAUGUUCAAUGUGUUCAGCUUUUAUAAAGUAUCUGCUCUAACAUAGAAAUUAUAUAUAUCCAACAUAAUCUGUACAUGUCUUUUCGUCACAAAAUAUGUAAGGUUAUAGAAAAUUUUUAUUUGAAGAAUCUGGGAUUUCAUUGAGUUCAUAAAUCUGAAUGACGUUUAUUCAUAUAAGUAAUGUUAUGAUUUUUAAUCAUUGGUAUAUAAUAUUGCAGGACACUAUGAAUAAGCUGUUUGUUGGUGCCAGUGCCAACCAGAAGGGCACACUAACAUAUUUGAGAAAUGUGUUUAAUCACAGAGGUGUCAAAAAAGAUGUUUCAGAGUCUUUCAACAAAGUACACGAGUUUAUUGAGUUUGUGACCGAGGGCUACGUCUGUCUCAUGGCCAUGGAUAAAUUGGGAAUGGAAGAUUUAAACGACGACGGACGGACACCUAUGGCAUUACAUGACAUCGCCAAUGACAUUGUAGAGACGGUUUUGGUAGAGCCAGAUAUGGGCGUGUUGAAAAAAGAUGGAAAACGCAAAGGAUAUUGCCUUUGUGAGGAUGGUACGCACAAAAUAUAAGAAAUAUUCCAUAAGUUUAAAUCCAUACGAAAAUAAAUUAUUUCUAAGUAUAAGAUAUAUGGGCUUUGCUCAUUGUUGAAGGCCGUACGGUCCACUAUUGUUGUUAAUUUCUGUGUCAUUUGGUCUCUUGAGAAGAGUUGUCUCAUUGGCAAUUACACCACAUCUUCUUUUUUAUAUAUAAAAAUAUACAUGGGACAAAUUCGCACACAACUUGAUAUAGAAAAAUAAAAAAAAAAAUAUCAAUAGGUUUUGUUCCCCUGUUCUUCAUCUUGACAAUUGAUGGUCUUCGUUACUGCAUGAAAUAAUCAUUAAUACCCUACAACAAUACCAGGACGGUCCCUAUCAUCGAUUUCAGCGGAAUACUUCUGAUAAAAAUAAACCACAUUUCACCUUAUUAAUCCACAACCGCACGUCGAAAUCACCUGGGAUACAAAAACAGUGAAAAAAUUUGAAAGACAGAACUAUUUAUCAAUAGUUCCAAAUGCUUCCAUGUUCCGACUUCUUUUUCUUUUUACAGAGUCUGACGUUCCAAACGCUGAUGAACCGAUGGUUGGGUGUGAAAAUCACCAAUGUCCUAGUGGAGAGUGGUUUCACCUGUCUUGCGUUGAUCUGGAUGCCCUUCCUAGUGAAGGUUAAUAACUUAAAAAUAAGUUUUAAUGUCAGUACUAGUAUACACAUUUAAAUAACGUAAUCAUAAUACAAAAUCUUCUUUUAUAUAUAUAAAGCAAGACUAUUACACAUUAUUCGUUCCUGUUUGACUAUAAAACAUUUCUUCAAUACGCACUAGAACAGUUUCCAUCGACAUAACUGUUUAUGUAGGACUCCAAUUAUUAUUUCUUUUAUUUAUUUAAAUACUUAUUUCAGAUGAAAAAUGGUUUUGCUCUCAAAGCUGCAGGUCGACGAUUACUGAUCCAGAUAUCGAUCAUAAGUUUGAAUAUGUAAAGGCAGUAAUGUUUGAGGGUCUCGGUCACAUGGCUCGACGAGAUGCCAUUAGGGAGAAUGAUGGUCCUGCAAUCAUCAGUAAUUGGAAGGUCGAUAUGAUUUCCUUCCACAACCACCAUCACCCCAAAUAUUUUAUUCUUGGGCACCGUUUGGUUGCAGGUGUGAUAUUUUUUAUAAAACAAAAAGUAUGAUAGAGCUUGCAAAAAAAAAAACCCAACGUUUUCUUGAAUUUACUUUCAUCGAGCUUGACUUUGAAAGCUUGGAUACGUAACUAUAACAUACCAAGUAAUAAAUUGAAAAUAAAAGGAGUAAACGUACAUUGGACAAAAUACAUAAAAAAUACAAAUUAUCAAUGAAUAGGUUUUUUUCACUGUACUUCAUCUUGACAAUCGAUGUAGAUUACUCAACAAUGAACGAAUCAUUCAUACUCUAAAAAUUAUAAAGUAGCCGUCUAAGGCGUCAUAAUUAUUUGGAUUACAACCAGGGUUCUAAGUAAAAAGUAAAUAGUACUAUUUAUGCCUAUUUUUUGGCGGAUGCCCUAUUUUUUGGCGGAUAACGACAUCUCAAAUAUAUGCUAUUGUUGUGAAAGAUGAAAACAAAUUGAACACUGAAACUGAAAUGACGGAAAUAAAUGAAUUGAUACAAGAGAAAAUUUUUGCACAAGCGUAAACCCAAACUUUAGACUUAAUCUUGUUUCAUUUUGGUUUAAGGUGUAAGUGGCUGGCUUACGGAGAGGCUAAAGAAUGACCUCAUAUGGAAUAGAACUGUAAACUAUAGAGGAGGCCAAAGGAACAACAUUGAAAUGGACAUGAUGAAUGAGUUCCUAAACAGAGAAUUCAAAGGUCAAUUAAGAUAUAAAGAUAUAAAGAUAUAUAAUGUACCACUUGAAACUUGCACUUUAUAUAGUUCACAACAAGCAAAUUUAACACAAGUCGGACACGUAAUUUCAGUACAGCAUAGAAUAUCAAAUUAUAAAUGUAUAAUUUUUUUUUUUUUUAUUAUAGAUGAAGUUGAAUAGUUAUAAUAAACAUUUAUAUUUUGGUUUUCAUCAUUGUGACACGAUCAUUAAUCGAAACUUGAAGAAAGAAAACAUGUUGAACAAUGUGAAGUAAAAAUAAGUUGUGCAAUGAGCUUGUAUAUUAAUAGUUGCAACAACCGAAGACCGUUUAAAUUUCUUGCAUGAAACUAUUUUUUCUGAUUUAAGUUUUGUUUGCAGAUCGGAUAGACUCAGCUGCCAGUGCAUUAACAUCAGACGUUUUAAAGAGGCAUUCCAUCUUAGCUGGGGGUAUAGGGAAUGAUAUCGACAAGAUCUUCCAGUACCGUGUCUCCUCACGAUCGGCUGAUUAUCACGGUACUGGGAAGAAACGUAACAACACCGUUGAUAUCAACUACUUUGUUGAGUUACUGCAGAAAGAGAAACUUGUCCAGCCUAUGGGGUGCAGGAAUUUUGGCUCACAUCCAAAAUUCAUUCAUCAAAUCAAUAUUAAGUCGCCGUCAGUUCUAAUAACAAAAAUAGUCUCGCACUCUAUCAAACUCGACAAAAGAAAAAAUCUUGUUGUCAAUGGUUAAACCAUGUUAAAGCGAGACUAAGUGAUCUACAUUCCGUCGUGUCGGCGCGUCAAAAAAAUAUUCCACUCUGUGGUAAAGUUUUUGAAAUUUUAAUAACUUUCUUAAACUAUACUGGAUUUCUACCAAACUUUGACAGAAGCCUGUUUAUGAUCAUAAGAUAGUAUCCAGAAUUUAAUUUUGUUAAAAACAAAUUAUAUUUUUUCCGUAUUUUACUAUAAAUGGACUUAGUUUUUUUCUGCGGGGAAUUACAUUCACUCUGUGGUUAAAGUUUUUAGAAUUUUAAUAACUUUCUCCAACUAGCCUGGGUUUGUACCAAACUUGGACAGAAGCUUGUUUAUGAUCAUAAGAUAGUAUCCAGAAGUAAAUUUUGUAAAUAAAUAAAUCCAUUUUUUCAAUAUUUUACUUUUAAAUGGACUUCGUUUUUUCUGCGGGGAACUAUUACAUUCACUCUGUGGUUAAAGUUUUUAAAAUUUUAAUAACUUUCUUUAACUACCCUGGGUUUGAACCAAAAAUGGACAGAAGCUUAUUUAUGAUCAUAAGAUUGUAUCCAGAAGUAAAGUUUUUAAAAAGAUUACUCAGUUUUGUCUGUAAUUUACUUUUAAAUGGACUUGGAUUUUCUUACAAUCAUAAAAUAGUAACAAGAGGAAUAUUUUAUUUUUUUAUUCAUUGUUGUUGAGCCUGCGAUUUACAGCAAAAAUAGGCGAGACACUGGGUUCUGCGGAACCCUUACAAAUUUUUGAUAUAACAAAUCCAAUUUGAGUUGACUUUACGAAAUUAUGAUUAUCUAUUUUAUAUUGCUUCAAUUAAAUUGUCAGGUAUACUAUAUACAAUAUUGAGCAGCUGUAACACAUACCCGCUGGGUCACUGCUGUUACAGCUUCUCAAAAUUGUUAACUAACUAUUUAUCAUUAGGAGUUUUUGUCAUGAAUAAAAAUAUUGAAUUCAUGAAAACAUGAAAAUAUGGUCAAUGUAUGAUGAAUAGUGACAACACAUUUGAAAAUGACGAAUAUGUUUAAUAUGUUCCUUUACUGAGAUUGGAUUAUAGUAUACUGUAUAGAAUGAUACAGCUUUUAUUAUUCGAGAAAGACAAAGCUGACUAAUAAUGGAACUGUAUAACUUUAAUUUCAGUUUUCAGUUUACCUGAUAGUUUUGUGUUGUUCAAUAACAAUAAUAAUUAUAAUAUCUUUAAUUUUUGACCAGAAUGAUAACAGUCGUAAUCGUGCUUUUUUCAAGGGAUAUCUUCCAGUUUCACUAGCAGUACUGAUUCUUUAUGCAUGAUUUUCAGAAAUUUUAAGUGAAUCUUUUUAUUUUCUUAAGCAUCAAUGCUUUCAAAAUUGCACAAGAGUAAAUAAGUAUGGCUUUAUGGAGUCAAACAAUUCAAUAGAUUUUGUAAACCAAUAAGAUGAUAUAAUUUUUUUUUUCGGUAAUAAAAGAGCAUUAAGUGUUUUUUCCUGCUUGAUCUGUCAUUUUUUUCUCUGGAAUUUGUAUAUCAUCGCUACAGUAAAAUAGAAAUCCCAGAUUGGCGGUAUAAUAUAUCUAAAUAUUAUAGAAUUAUGUUUUAUGUAUUGACAAAACUACAAGGCAUACUAUGGAAAUUUGGCAAGGUUUACUAAAAGACUAACAAAGCAAAGGGGGAGGGUGUACCAGUCUUAAGAUCAAUUAAGCUUAAACUUAUGUGUGUAUUUUAAAUAUAAAUCCGGUAUUUUUUUAUAUGUUUUAACACUAUGUAUGUGAUUGUAUAUAUAUUAUGUGUAAAACAUUGUCAUUAUGAUCCAAUAAAAUUCGGAUUUGUCACUGAAAGUUUGUUGAAUUUGCGUCAUUUGGAUUUCAGUUCGUUAGUUAUCUUAUUGACAAUUAACGGUAACCACACCUCCUCUGACACAAAAAAAAAAAUGCGUUAACUCUCUGUUUGUUGAAGACUCUUUACUCUGGUGAAAAACACAUUUGUUCAGUUAUUCAGUCGAGAACAUUAUUAUCGCGACUGAACUUCAAACUUGCAAUUUCCGUACUUGAAAAAUGGGUAUUCGAUGUUUUUUUAUAACCAUAGCCAAACAGGAUAAAACUAAAAGCAUUUUUUUAAUUAGAAAAUGUUACAACACGAACAUCAAUUGUAUAAUUCAUUUCUGUGAUCAUCUGAUUAUCCAAACUUGAAUUUCUUUAGGUGACCCGUGUUUUUUUCGUGCCUUAAGUAUGACAACCUCUGUACAAGCCUAUCAAUGCAGUUGACAGACACGGAUCUUCAGUUUGGCAUUUUAUAUCUAGGCAAUAAUAACUGCAAAUAUACAUUCAGGAUAAAGCUGAUCUGAAUCCUACAAAUAUACAAAAUAUACAUGGAUUUUUUUGUUCAAUAGCAGUUACAACUAUAUGUAAUGUGACAACAGAUACUUCAGUGUCCUUCAGUUGUAUAUUAUUUUAAUAGUUUAUAUAGUUAAUUUGUACACUCCCCCUUUUUUAUAUAAUAUUUUACUCUUAAAAUCUAAGAAGAGGGUCAGCGUAUGCAGGUGAAGUAUUCUAUUUAAAAAAAAUCGAAUUGAUAAAAGUAGUUGCACUCUAAUAGGCUUAAAUAUACCGGAGAGAAAUUGAACACAAAAAAAUGACCAAUAAAUGUGAUAUACUCUAAUAUACUGGAAAGAAAUCAAACAAAAAAAUGAUGACCACAAUAAAUGCCUGUCAAUCUUAAAAUAAAUAUAUUGAACCUCUUUAUAUACAAGCAAAUCAGUCAGAAUGUUAUAGAUUGUUUGAAAUAUAUUUCGCAUUAUCAGAGAGUAAACUGUUAUGUACUUUGAGAACACCCCUCAUUUUUUACGUCACACUUAGAGUGCAUGCUGGUUAUUAUGUGGCCAUUUUAACAUUGAAGCGUCUGCCAGGAAAUGCUGUGGCAGAAAGAACAUAUUAAUAUCUCUAUUCUGACACAAAUAAAACAAUAAAACAAAGGUAAGUUACAUUUUUUAUCAAAAUUACAAGUUUAUUUACGAUAAUUCAAUCAUUAACAGUAGGUAAAGUUUCAAAAUAGUUGAGAGCAAAAUAUGCUCUCAAAAUCCAACCGAAAAUGGUGGCUUCAGCAUUAUGACGUCGCAGGAGGGCGUCCAAAAAAAUUUAUAAAAUAGCCGUCCAAGGCGUCAUAAUUAUUUGGACUACAAUACAAGGAUUUCUGAAAUUUGGUUUAAGGGUUAAUAUAAGUCAGCUAUACGUGUGAUGCGUUUUCAGAUUCAUCACUCGACAACUUCUGUUUACUGAACACUUGCAUAUUUUUACACAAUUAAUAUUAUCCACUUGCGGCGGGGGUAUCGUCAGUGAGCAGUAGCUUGCAUUUUCACUUGUUUUUUAUAUGUUGUCUACUUGCAUAAUGUUUAUUAUUUGAACAGAGUAUGGCAAAGAAUGUUGAAAAAUUCGGCGAAUACAUGUAUGUGUAUCAUGUAUUGCUGCAAACGAAAAAUUAUUAUCCCUUUAAUUUUGUUUAAGUACAUUUGUACUUAUCGUUAUUGAUAUUUGUUUACUGUCACAAUUCAUGCAGUAUCAUAACAAUUGCAUAACAGAGACAUAUAUAAUAAUUAAACUGUCUAUUUGUUGUCUCUUUGACAUCAUUUCACAUUUCUAUUCUCAAUUUUAUCAAAAUACUUUUCAUGUUUUACAAUUCGUAUAUGUUACAGUAAAUACAUGUAGGUGAAAUUAGGAAUUAUGUGUAAUUACUAAAAUUAGGAAUUACAUGUAAUUCCCGAUGUACUUAGUAAAUACAAGUAAUUCCUGAAACGGCCCAGUUAUUACCAGUAAUUACUAAUUUUAAAAUGAAUUUUGACACCUAUUUAAUAACUGUUAAAACAAUGUAAGCUGAUCAAAAGUUAUGGUAAUUCUAGCUAUAGAAGAUCAGUGAGUACUCUUAAAAAGUGAUUAGCCUAAAAUGUACCUUUUUUGUUAUAAGAGCAUUAGCUACGAGCUGUUAAAUAAAUUAAAUAUGAUUUUUUUGUUUGUUAAAUUAUUAAUGAAAAUUAUAUAGUGAAAUUAUUCAAAUUAAAAUUCACUUUUAGCAGUCAAUCUGGUUCUAUUUUACUUAAAUAAGCAGAGAAACAUGGUUGAUGAUUUUUGCACUUGCAAGUGACUAAUUGGACCUCAUUGAAUAUUAUUCAGUUGAAUUCAACACCUAGCUGGAGAUAGGUUACUGAUGUAUUCAUAUUUAAAAUUGUAAGGGUUUCGCAGAAUCCAGUAUCUCGCCUACUUUAGCUGUUAGUUGCAGGCUCAACAAAAAUGGAGGGGGGGGGGGGAUAUCAAAUCUUUUGACUAGUGCUGUAAGAAGCUUCUGUCCAAAUUUGGUUAAAAUCCAGGAUGGUUUAUGAAAUCUAAUAAAUGUCUAAAAAAAAACUUUAACCGCAGAGUGUAUGUAAUGUUAACUGGGGAAAAAAAACAAGUCCAUUUAUAGGGAAAUACGAAAAGGGAUUUCGAAAAAGGGAUUUUUUUACAAACUUUACUUCUGGAAAUUAUUUUAUGAUCAUAAACAAGCUUCUGUCCAAGUUUGGUAGAAAUCCAGGAUAUUCUGAGAAAGUUAUAAAAUUUAAAAAACUUUAACUACAAUGUGUCUUAUAAUGUAAUGUAAUGUUAACUGGCAUAUAAAUAUAAGUCCAUUUAUAAGUAAAAUUCGGAAAAACUUUAUUUUCACAAAAUUUACUUCUUGAAAAUUAUCUCAUAAUUAUAGUCAAGCUUCUGUUCACGUUUGGUAGAAAUCCAGGAUAAUUUAAGAAAGUUAUCAAAAUUUAAAGAACUUUAACCACAUAGUGAAUACUUGUGGAUGAUGCUGACGACAGAAUAGCUUGCUGUGUCUCGCUUUUGCGACAAAGGUCGCAGGCUCGACAAAAAGAAACAUAAUCAUAAUGACAACAUUGAAAGAAAAUCAAAAGGAAUGGCUUAUUUAAUCCACAAAAGAUCAUUCUUAUACAGAUAAAAACGAUAAUAAAAUUUUUGUUGCAGGUAUAUAAAGCUGGAGUUUGGAGGUCUUGACACUAAUUAGCGACAAGACGAAUAUUUGUUUUAUGAUUCAAACCGAUACUACAUAGUACAUUGUACAUGUUGUACUACAAUGUUAUCUUAUCUAUGAUUAAACUCAAAGUCAUCAUUAUAUAUAGCUAGAUAACAAAACACUUGCAGUUUAAUAUCACAUACAUUUGUACAUGACACAGGACAAUCACUGACAAGUUACAAGACUUGCUAGCAGUAACUGAAAGCCAAGCACAAAUGCCUAAUCUGUCGUACACUCUUAUUCUGCAGGUGGCUGUACCUCACUUUUUACAUUAGAUACCAUUUAACGUCAUACAAUGUAUCAGAAAACACUUGUGUUGAUUUUUGUUAUCAAACAUAAUUGGAUAACAAUUUAUAGAAAACUACCACAAAUAUCAUGCAAAUAAUCAGUUUAUUUCUUUUUUAGCUCACGUGGCCCGAAGGGCCAAAGUGAGCUUAUGCCAUCACUUGGCGUCUGUCGUCGUAAACUAUUUCAAGAAUCUUCUCCUCUGAAACUACUAGGCCAAAUACUUCCAAACUUUAACUGAAUGUUCCUUAGGGUAUCUAGUUUAUAAAUUGUAUCCAAAGUUUUGAUCUAUCAACAAACAUGGUCGCAUUGCUAAAAAAUGAACAUAGGGGUCAAAUGCAGUUUUUGGCUUAUAUCUCAAAAACGAAGCAUUUAGAGCAAAUCUGACAGGGGAUAAAAAUGUUCAUUAGGUCAAAAUCUAUCAGCCCUAAAAUUUUCAGAUGAAUCAAACAACCCAUUGUUGGGUUGCUGCCACUUAAUUGGUAAUUUUAAGGAAAUUUGCAGUUUUUGGUCAUUACCUUGAAUAUUAUUAUAGAAAAAGAUAAACUGUAAACAGCAAAAAUGAUCAUCAAAGUAAGAUCUACAAAUAAUUUAAUAUGACCAAAAUUGUCGAUUGACCCCUUAAGGGGUUAUUGUCCUUUAAUUAAUGACAAUUUUUCACAUUUUGUACAUCAUAUUUGCUAACUUUAAAAAAUCUAAAACUACUCAACCAAAUUCAACCAAACUUCAACUGAAUGAUCAGUAGGGUGUAUAAAAUAAAGUUUGUGUUUUAUUUUCUAUUUCGUCAAAAAACAUGGCCGUCAUGGCUAAAAAUAGAACACAGGGUAAAAUGCAGUUUUUGGCUUAUAUCUCAAAAACUCCAGCAUUUAGAGCAAAUAAGACAAGAAGUUAAAGUAUUUAUUAGGUCAAGGUCUACCUGUCCUGAAAUUUUCAGCCGAAUUGGGUAACGGUUUUCAGGUAUAAUGCCCCUGAAUUGAUGAUUUUAAAGAAAUUUUGCAGUGUUUGGUUAUUAUCUUGAAUAUUAUUAUACAUGUAGAUACAGAUAAACUGUUAAUAGCAAUUGUAUUGUGAAUCAUCAGAUUGACCUAGACUGUGUCUUAAUCAAGUGUAGGGCAAACUCAUGCCCAUUCUUUCCAGAGGUUCCUAAGAGGCUUUAAAAGGUAUUUCCAGGAUAGUACAUGGCCUUUGUUACUCUGUUUAAUUUACAACAAACAUUAAUUUAUUAAUUUAGUUAAUAAGGCAUUGUUUACCAGGUGACCGAUUCAGGCUCUUGAGAGCCUCUUGUUUGGGGUUACAUGUAUAUAUAUGCUUGAAGAUAUUGAUCUGAUUAUUAUGAUUUAUCAUGAUUAUAAUUUAUUGUAUAGUUUUUCCAUGACAAGUUGCAUAUCAAGUGUAAAAUUUGUUUCAGUUCAGACUAUUUUAUUUUAGCAGAAACUGAUCUGGAAUUAUGGUCCAAAACAAGCAUUUUUCAUGUUUCAUGGCAUAAAUUGUGUACAUGGUGUAUGUGUAGGAUCUCUAUAAAAUUGUACCACUUUGUACAUGUAGCAUUGUAGGUUCCAUACCUCAAAAGGAAGGUUUGGAUUACUUUUUGGGGUAAUGGACUAAACCUUUUUAUAAUUAUGGGUAAAAAACAAGUAUCUGGUAUCCGAACAUUAAACCCUUGAAUAAUAUACAUGUACAUUGUGCAUCAUUUGUGUAUGUUCAUACAUCUGAACGAAUAUAUACAUGUAGAUAUAAGAAGAUAUGGUAUUAUUUCCCUUCACCCAACUUGACCCAAGAUCAAUAGACAUAUUAUAAAACUACAGGUCACAGUAAAUCCUUCAACAAUGAGCAAAUCCCAUACAGUGUACCUUUCUAUGGAUCUCUAUGAAAUUGAGCCUCAAUUGCAAGGUUCGAUACCAAAGUGGUAAAAAUAUAAGAUCAAAGGGGUUUAUUAUAGAAGUUUAAGGGAAAAUUGUAUAAAAAUCAAUUUCAAAUGGUAACAACUUGAAAACUAAUUUAAUAAUGACAGUUACUAUUGUAAGACAACAAUCAUGACAAUGAAUGGAAUGACCUGCUUUUAGUUAUUGUGCCAAAUUUAAUAAAACUUUGCCUCAAUCAUUUAAAGGGUAUCUAAUGCUAUUAAUUGUGAUUUUCAAAACAACAGUGAAGACAGGUGAGCGACACAGGCUCGACACAGGCUCAUGAUAUUUGAUACUUGUAGAUAAUUACAUGUAGUACAAUUCCAAGUCUAAUACAAAUAGAAAGAAAUUCAUGGAUAUUACAAGCUAAUUGUUUGCAAAACUCUUUGAAUAGUAUUGUGUCCACAUGCUAAAUACUGUUUUCACCCUUUCAGCAAUAUAACAAGGAAUGGACAGAGGAGUUGACUAUUGAUUAUGACUGAUACUGGUAAUACUGGAAUGAAUUAACCUACAUGCAGUGUCCAAUGACUCCAUGCCUGACAGUCCAUUUUUACAUGUACAUAAAAUGUAUGUUGACAGCCAAUGG
Molecule: long non-coding RNA, 22901 nt
Filed under: Mytilus galloprovincialis (Mediterranean mussel)
Lineage: Eukaryota; Metazoa; Mollusca; Bivalvia; Mytilida; Mytilidae
Source: RNAcentral